AACGAACGCUGGCGGCAGGCCUAACACAUGCAAGUCGAGCGAGGACUUCGGUUCUAGCGGCGGACGGGUGAGUAACGCGUGGGAAUGUGCCCUUCUCUACGGAAUAGCCCUGGGAAACUGGGAGUAAUACCGUAUACGCCCUUUUGGGGAAAGAUUUAUCGGAGAAGGAUCAGCCCGCGUUGGAUUAGGUAGUUGGUGGGGUAAUGGCCUACCAAGCCGACGAUCCAUAGCUGGUUUGAGAGGAUGAUCAGCCACACUGGGACUGAGACACGGCCCAGACUCCUACGGGAGGCAGCAGUGGGGAAUCUUAGACAAGGGUGGCAAUCCUGAUCUAGCCAUGCCGCGUGAAUGCUGAAGGCCUUAGGGUUGUAAAGCUCUUUCAGCUGUGAAGAUAAUUACUGUACCAGCAGAAGAAGCCCCGGCUAACUCCGUG
RNAcentral lists this ribosomal RNA (433 nucleotides) under uncultured bacterium. RNAcentral describes it as "partial 16S ribosomal RNA". It matches the Rfam family "Bacterial small subunit ribosomal RNA", at positions 29 to 507 of the family's 1533-position model. The record is from RNAcentral.